This 292-nucleotide ribosomal RNA is filed under the name Ctenophora environmental sample. Its description in RNAcentral is "partial Eukaryotic large subunit ribosomal RNA". It matches the Rfam family "Eukaryotic large subunit ribosomal RNA", at positions 61 to 351 of the family's 3401-position model. The record is from RNAcentral. Lineage: Eukaryota; Metazoa; Ctenophora.
GAAAAUAACAAUGAUUCCCCUAGUAACGGCGAGUGAAGCGGGAAGAGCUCAAGCUGAAAAUCGUUUUCUUCGGACGGCGAAUUGUGGCCUAGAGACGUUCUAUCAGUACGAACCCAGGUAUAAGUCCCUUGAAACAGGGUAUCAUAGAGGGUGAGAAUCCCGUUUGUGACUUGGAGUUUCGUGCGUACGAUGUUCGUUCAUAGAGUCGUGUUGCUUGGGAGUGCAGCACUAAAUGGGUGGUAAAUUUCAUCUAAAGCUAAAUAUUGGCCGGAGACCGAUAGCGCACAAGUAG